RNAcentral lists this ribosomal RNA (217 nucleotides) under Pseudo-nitzschia fraudulenta. RNAcentral's name for it is "partial Bacterial large subunit ribosomal RNA". It matches the Rfam family "Bacterial large subunit ribosomal RNA", at positions 2074 to 2290 of the family's 2925-position model. Lineage: Eukaryota; Bacillariophyta; Bacillariophyceae; Bacillariales; Bacillariaceae. The record is from RNAcentral.
GACAAGACGGAAAGACCCCAUGAACCUUUACUAUAGGCUUUUAUUGCACAUGAGUUUGUAUUGCGUAGGAUAGGUGGGAGGCUUUGAAGCGGCCGUUCUGGCGGUCGUGGAGCCAUCCUUGAAAUACCACCCUUAUCUUCGUGGAUGUCUAACUGCGGUCCGUUAUCCGGAUCCAGGACAGUGUGUGGUGGGUAGUUUGACUGGGGCGGUCGCCUCC